UCUUCCGUAGUAUAGUGGUCAGUAUGUGAGCUUGUCAUUCCAUAUUCUUCUGAUGAAGAAUAAAAAGACAUCGCUCGAGACCCGGGUUCAAUUCCCGGCGGGAGAG
Non-coding RNA from Echria macrotheca, 106 nucleotides. NCBI's taxonomy places the organism in Eukaryota, Fungi, Ascomycota, Sordariomycetes, Sordariales, Schizotheciaceae. The record is from the annotation of a GenBank genome assembly.